This 2343-nucleotide non-coding RNA is filed under the name Rhombophryne vaventy. Its description in RNAcentral is "partial contains 12S ribosomal RNA, tRNA-Val, and 16S ribosomal RNA". The stretch from base 1121 to 1992 matches the Rfam family "Bacterial large subunit ribosomal RNA", at positions 569 to 2044 of the family's 2925-position model. The record is from RNAcentral. Lineage: Eukaryota; Metazoa; Chordata; Amphibia; Anura; Microhylidae.
GUUUGGUCCUAGCUUUACCCUCAACUAUUACUUAACUUACACAUGCAAGUAUCCGCACACCCGUGAAAACGCCCUCAUCCCUCCAACAAGAAAAGGAGCCGGUAUCAGGCACAAACAUUUUUGCCCAUAACACCUAGCCACGCCACACCCCCAAGGGCAUUCAGCAGUGACAGACAUUGCCCAUUAGCGCCAGCUUGACCCAGUCAAAGUAAAACAGAGCCGGCCAAUUCGGUGCCAGCCGCCGCGGCUACCCCGCUUGGCUCAAGUUGACACCAUCGGCGUCAAGCGUGAUUAAAGUAACACCAGACAUUAGAAUCAAACCCAACCCAAGUUGUGAUACACUUGCCUAAAAGAAGCCCCCAAACGAAAGUUAUUCUAACAUACUUGAACCCACGACAGUUGGGACACAAACUGGGAUCAGAUACCCCACUAUGCCCAACCGUAAAACAUCUACCCACACCCACAACCGCCAGGGAAUUACGAGCCACCUUAAAACCCAAAGGACUUGACGGUAUCCCACCCACCUAGAGGAGCCUGUUCUUUAAUCGACACCCCCCGAUACACCUCACCGCCCCUAGCACACUCAGUCUGUAUACCUCCGUCGCAAGCCUACCCUGUGAACGCCACUAGUGGGCCCAAAGAUUUAUCAUCAAUACGCCAGGUCAAGGUGCAACUAACGGGACGGAAAGCAAUGGGCUACAAUUUCUACAAUAGAACACACAAAAAUCACAUGAAACAAGACUACUAAAGGAGGAUUUAGCAGUAAAAAGAAAAUAGAGAGUUCUUUUUAAUUGGGCACUGGGAUGCGUACACACCGCCCGUCACCCUCUUCAAGUACCCACACAAGAAGAGGCAAGUCGUAACAUGGUAAGCGUACUGGAAAGUGCACUUGGACAUCAAAAUGUAACUUAACAUAAAGUGUCUCGCUUACACCAAGACAGAUGUCAAUGAACCAGACCAUUUUGAGCCAAAAUCCAAGCCCCCCAACCAACCCACCACUAAAACGAAACAAUAAAACAUUUUUUCUAUUAAGUAACGGCGAUUAAAAAAUAAAUAAGAGCUAUAAAAAAAGUACCGCAAGGGAAACAUGAAAUAAAAAUAAAACACACAAGCACAACACAGCAAAGAUUAAAUCUUGUACCUUUUGCAUCAUGGUCUAGCUAGUUUAACCAAGCAAAACGCACUUAAAGUUUGACCCCCCGAAACUUAAGCGAGCUACUUUACAACAGCCCAUAGAGCCAACCCGUCCCUGUUACAAAAGGGUGGGAAGAUUUUAAAGUAGCGGUGACACACCCAUCGAGCCUAGAGAUAGCUGGUUAUUCAGAAAAAGGAUUUAAGUCCAACUUUAAGCCCACCCCACGUAACACUAAACACACCAACAACUUAAAAGCCAUUCAAAUGGGGUACAGCCCACUUGAACAAGGAAACAGCCUACAACACCGGGUAACGACCAACACACGUGACAAAGUAGGCCUAAAAGCAGCCAACUUCCAAAAAGCGUCCAAGCUUCUCCACCAACCAUUCCCAAUCCCACCAUUAAAACACAACCCACACCCAAUACUGAAUGAUCCCAUACCCCCCCCCCCCCCCACAUGAGAGUCAUCAUGCUAGAACUAGUAACAAGAAGCAAAGAGCUUCUCCAAAAAUGUAAGCAUAAGCCAAAAUGAACCCAUCACCGGCACCCACCGCCACCCCGCAGUACCACCUCCCCCAAGAAAAACCUACUGCACCAAGCGUCAACCUUACACCAGAACAUUACUGGAAAGAUUAAAAAGAAGAGGAAGGAACUAGGCAAACACCAGCCCCGCCUGUUUACCAAAAACAUCGCCUCUUGACACUCAUAAGAGGUCCAGCCUGCCCAGUGACGAUAGUUAAACGGCCGCGGUACCCUAACCGUGCAAAGGUAGCACAACCACUUGUUCUUUAAAUCAGGACUAGUAUGAACGGCCCCACGAGAGCUAUACUGUCUCCCUCCCUUAAUCAGUGAAACUGAUCCCCUCGUGAAGAAGCGAGCAUAAUCCCAUAAGACGAGAAGACCCCAUGGAACUUUAAACUCGUACCACUGCCUCUUACAUACCACACCACCUAAGGCACCAUGACUACAAGUCUUUCGGCUGGGGCGACCACGGAGAAAAAUAAAACCUCCACGAUGAAAAACUACCCCCCCCCAAUCCCAGAGAAACUUCUCCAAGAAUCAACAAAUUGACAUACUGACCCAAAAACCUUGAUCAACGAACCAAGCUACCCUGGGGAUAACAGCGCAAUCCAUUUCAAGAGACCCCAUCGACAAAUGGGCUUACGACCUCGAUGUUGGAUCAGGGUAUCCUGGUGGUGCAGCCGCUA